UAAAAGGACACACUAAUUAUUUUAAAACGCACUUUCUUUUGCCAUUACAUCAGUAUGUUUUUAAUUGAACCACACACACAAACAGGAGUACACGCCGGAGCACGCACACAACACACACCAUAGCGCGCGCGCACACACACACACACGAGCACCCACAAGGUGUGCAUGCACACACAAACGAGACAACACACCCAGCACGCACGGACCAACGCACUAAUUUUUAUUUUAAUAAUUGCUUUUCUAAUGCUCUUUCUUAAUUUUGAACUUCUCUGAAAGUCUUCUUCGAACUUCUGAAUAUCUUUUUAUAGCUUCUAGCCUUCAGCUUCCAGUGGCCGAGCAUUCAGUCAGCUGAAAUCUGAAGUAGCAUUCAGUUAUCCGAACUUUGAAGUAUACUACUGCAGCUCUAGAGCAACCUCUCUGAUUCAGUUAUCUGAACUCUGACUAAAACAAUUCAAUGCACGAGCGCUUCAUGUGCUAGCAGCAGGCGCUGAAGCUUCCUGGUAGGUGUUGCAGCCUACAUGCAGCAUUCAUCCGUUGUUAGCAUUAGAAACAUGUGAUAGCCACAACAUGGGUAAUCAACUAAUCUACCAGCAAUUACAUGUCACUUCCGAAUCCUACGAUGUGCAACCACACGAGUUCUCCAGCAAGCAAUUAAACUGAAUUAGCCGCAAAAAAGCAAUUAAACUGAAUUCACCUGGGCCAUGGAGACGGAGAUGUUGGCAGGGAUGCGGAACAUUGUCGGCGGAGUUCUACACCUCCAAGAAGAGCUUGUAGACCUUGGCGGUGACCAAAGACAUGUCAGGCGCCUCGUGGUCCUUGGUCAUGCACUACAGCACCAGCGGUGUGAGCAACUUCGUCGUGUCAAUGAGGAACUUCAUAACCUGGAGUUUUCAACUUGCAAAAGGAAGG
RNAcentral lists this long non-coding RNA (909 nucleotides) under Triticum aestivum (bread wheat). RNAcentral's name for it is "long non-coding RNA (TAES_LNC014543)". The record is from RNAcentral. Lineage: Eukaryota; Viridiplantae; Streptophyta; Magnoliopsida; Poales; Poaceae.